GGGCGCUAUGGGGCUCUAUGGGUUGCUAUGGGGCUCUAUGGGGCGCUAUGGGGCGCCGCCCCACUGAUCCCCACCCCACAGAUGGAUACGAGAACGAACCCGGAGCGCCUGCGUCACGGAGCUCUGCUGGGAGCUACGAGAACGACCCCAAUUCCAGCCCAGCCUCAGCCUCCACCCCAAAUCCCAGCGAACCCACAGCGCUGAGCCCUGGAGCAGCAAAACUCAUCACAGGUAACGGCCCUAUAG
Molecule: non-coding RNA, 246 nt
Organism: Phasianus colchicus (ring-necked pheasant)
Lineage: Eukaryota; Metazoa; Chordata; Aves; Galliformes; Phasianidae
Source: RefSeq, a predicted model, not a curated record